AUCCAGCUGAGGAGUCCCAUAUAGGAAGAAACUCGCGUCCUGGAU
RNAcentral lists this non-coding RNA (45 nucleotides) under Schistosoma margrebowiei. Lineage: Eukaryota; Metazoa; Platyhelminthes; Trematoda; Strigeidida; Schistosomatidae. The record is from RNAcentral.